RNAcentral lists this long non-coding RNA (849 nucleotides) under Heterocephalus glaber (naked mole-rat). RNAcentral describes it as "lncRNA (ENSHGLG00000040653.1)". Lineage: Eukaryota; Metazoa; Chordata; Mammalia; Rodentia; Bathyergidae. The record is from RNAcentral.
CCCGCGAUUACGCAACGAUGAGAACGCAGCUCUAGGCCGGUCUGGAAAGGCAGCACAGUUGGGCCCAAGUGGCCCAACUCCCUGGAGGAGAGGACGGGCUCUGAAGACUCUUCCGGCUGCCCCUGAAACCCUGAAACCGCUUAGUUGUUUUUCUGGUUGACUAGCUGCUGCACGCAACUGUCAGCUGCUUGUGAACUGUGUGACGCCAGUUCGCGCUCCUGUUUGUUUUCUAAAAGGCACUGCCCUGAUUUUUUUUUAACGACUAAAUAAUAAUAAUCAUUUCAGUCUCCCUCUCCUGAGGUGUUCCUUGAUGUCUCUAGGGUGCUAGGGCUGGGCCAGCAUCUUUUCCUGCAAUUUUUUUAUCCUCCCAUGGACAGCAGGGAGAACACAGGCUGCACCAGGCUGUUACACCAGGCCUCCCCGCUGGGAUAAAUGCAGCUUGUUUCAAAAGUGAAGGAAGGAAGGAGAGAGCGGAGAGGACAUCAAUCCCCUCCUUCCCAAAGGUUGCACCUACCAGCGACAGAGGAACAGCGCAUGUGAUGCCCCUCUUUUCUGUGAUGCUUACAGCUGCUGAUGACUUUUAUCUAAAUCCAUUAACUUAUGGUGAGCCUAAUGACAAAGUCAACAAUUGUUCAGAAGACCUGCAUUCACCAGAAAGAAUAUUUUUACCAAUAUUCAGAUGAUCACAUUUUAAAAUUCAGCACGGACUGAGUUUUUAUACAUUCUGCACACCCCAAAACAGGGGAAGACCACCACAGCGUGCACAGGAGGAAAAAAGUCAGACUGUGCAAUCAUUAUGCAAUAAUGCAUUAAUAAUAUAUGGUUUAUUGAACCAAAAAAGACUUUGGC